Molecule: long non-coding RNA, 463 nt
Organism: Perca flavescens (yellow perch)
Lineage: Eukaryota; Metazoa; Chordata; Actinopteri; Perciformes; Percidae
Exons: 3
Source: RefSeq, a predicted model, not a curated record
UGCUGCUGUUUUCAUAGGAUUCUCUCAUCAUGUGAUUUCAGAGAAAUUACUCAGAGGUGGUACUUAAAGCUGAUAGGGGAUGGGACAGACAGAGAAGACUCAAUGCGCUCAAAGCUGCUUCACCUGAAUCACCUCUCAAAACAGGAUAUCACCAGGUCAAUGAGGGAUCUGGAGAUGGAAAUUGUGGAAUUACAGAAUUUAGCAGAAUCGCUCUGCAACUGGACGAGAACUCAGGGAUUCGAAUGAGAUAAGGAGGCAUUCAGUGGGUUUCUACUCACACUAGUGAGUACACAGAAGAACAACUGUUUGAAUCCUUCUGUGACAGGUUGCCCAAAGUCCCAGAAGACAUGAACGUUGUACUUGAACAACCACAGAUCACCCAUCCAUCCAAGAUGAAUAUUAAUGCCCAUGGAGGUGCCGGAGGAGGAGGAGAAGAAGGAAGCAGAGGAGGAGGAAGAGUAGG